UCAAGCGCGAAAAGGGCGUUUGGUGGAUGCCUAGGCAGCAAGAGGCGAUGAAGGACGUGAUACCCUGCGUUAAGCUUUGGGGAGCCGGGAAUAGGCUUUGAUCCAGAGAUCUCCGAAUGGGGAAACCCACCUGACGGUUUUUGGUUGUUGCUACGCAACGCACGCUCCGCGCCGACCCUUGGUCGGAGGCGGGCCUGCGCCCGCGCAGCUCUCAUCCAGAAACCGAAACAGGUACUUUUACCCUGAAUCCAUAGGGGUUUAAGAGCAAACCCGGGGAACUGAAACAUCUAAGUACCCGGAGGAAAGGAAAUCAACAGAGACUCCGUUAGUAGUGGCGAGCGAACGCGGACCAGCCGAGCCUGGAAGAACGAGUGGAAUGGUCUGGAAAGGCCAGCGACAUGGGUGACAGCCCCGUACACGAAGUUCCAGAGGACGUAUCAAGUAGGGCGGGACACGUGUAAUCCUGUCUGAAGAUCGGGGGACCACCCCCGAAGGCUAAGUACUCCUUGCUGACCGAUAGCGAACCAGUACCGUGAGGGAAAGGUGAAAAGCACCCCGACGAGGGGAGUGAAACAGUACCUGAAACCGGACGCCUACAAGCAGUCGGAGGGGCCUUGAGCCCUGACGGCGUACCUUUUGUAUAAUGGGUCAACGACUUGGUCUUACGAGCAAGCUUAAGCCGAUAGGUGUAGGCGCAGCGAAAGCGAGUCUUAAAAGGGCGCAUGAGUUCGUGGGAUCAGACCCGAAACCAGGUGAUCUAGCCAUGAGCAGGAUGAAGGUUGGGUAACACCAACUGGAGGUCCGAACCAACACCCGUUGAAAAGGGUCUGGAUGACUUGUGGCUAGGGGUGAAAGGCUAAUCAAACCUGGAGAUAGCUGGUUCUCCGCGAAAGCUAUUUAGGUAGCGCCUCGGACGAAUACCUGCGGGGGUAGAGCACUGCAUGGAUGAUGGGGGCCCACAGCCUUACUGAGUCUAAGCAAACUCCGAAUACCGCAGAGUACUAUCCGGGAGACACACAGUGGGUGCUAACGUCCAUUGUGAAGAGGGAAACAACCCUGACCUGCAGCUAAGGCCCCUAAUUCGUGGCUAAGUGGGAAAGCAUGUGGGACGGCCAAAACAACCAGGAUGUUGGCUUAGAAGCAGCCAUCAUUUAAAGAUAGCGUAACAGCUCACUGGUCUAGAUAAGCUGUCCUGCGGCGAAGAUGUAACGGGGCUCAAGCCACGAGCCGAAGCUCAGGAUGCACAGCGAUGUGCGUGGUAGCGGAGCGUUCUGUGAUAUAGCUCAUCAUGUCUUAUCCGUCGAAAGACGGUGACGGACAUGGAGAGCUUUCUGUGAAGCCGGGCUGUAAGGCAUCCGGUGGAGAGAUCAGAAGCGAGAAUGUUGACAUGAGUAGCGACAAAGAGGGUGAGAGACCCUCUCGCCGAAAGUCCAAGGGUUCCUGCUUAAAGCUAAUCUGAGCAGGGUAAGCCGGCCCCUAAGGCGAGGCCGAAAGGCGUAGUCGAUGGGAACCAGGUUAAUAUUCCUGGGCCAGUGGGAUGUGACGGAUCGCAGGUGUAGUUCGGUCUUAUCGGAUUGACCGGGCUGCUGAGCGGUUCCAGGAAAUAGCCCCACAUCAGACCGUACCCUAAACCGACACAGGUGGACUGGUAGAGUAUACCAAGGCGCUUGAGAGAAUGAUGCUGAAGGAACUCGGCAAUUUACCUCCGUAACUUCGGGAUAAGGAGGCCCAGUGUUCAGGCAACUGUUCAUUGGGGGCACAGACCAGGGGGUAGCGACUGUUUAACUAAAACACAGGGCUCUGCGAAAUCGUAAGAUGACGUAUAGGGUCUGACGCCUGCCCGGUGCCGGAAGGUUAAAAGGAGGUGUGCAAGCACCGAAUUGAAGCCCCGGUAAACGGCGGCCGUAACUAUAACGGUCCUAAGGUAGCGAAAUUCCUUGUCGGG
Molecule: ribosomal RNA, 1945 nt
Filed under: hot springs metagenome
Description: bacterial LSU rRNA
Rfam family: Bacterial large subunit ribosomal RNA
Source: RNAcentral